This 45-nucleotide non-coding RNA is filed under the name Schistosoma mansoni. The record is from RNAcentral. Lineage: Eukaryota; Metazoa; Platyhelminthes; Trematoda; Strigeidida; Schistosomatidae.
AUCCAGCUGACGAGCCCCAAAUGGGACGAAACGCGCGUCAUAGAU